CGGGGAUCCUCUUCGGAGGCGUGCACACAGGUGCUGCAUGGCUGUCGUCAGCUCGUGUCGUGAGAUGUUGGGUUAAGUCCCGCAACGAGCGCAACCCACGUCCUUAGUUGCCAUCAUUCAGUUGGGCACUCUAGGGAGACUGCCGGUGAUAAGCCGCGAGGAAGGUGUGGAUGACGUCAAGUCCUCAUGGCCCUUACGGGAUGGGCUACACACGUGCUACAAUGGCGGUGACAGUGGGACGCGAAACCGCGAGGUUGAGCAAAUCCCCAAAAGCCGUCUCAGUUCGGAUUGCACUCUGCAACUCGGGUGCAUGAAGGCGG
This 320-nucleotide ribosomal RNA is filed under the name Methylobacterium sp. MB2.5. RNAcentral describes it as "bacterial SSU rRNA". It matches the Rfam family "Bacterial small subunit ribosomal RNA", at positions 1008 to 1329 of the family's 1533-position model. Lineage: Bacteria; Pseudomonadati; Pseudomonadota; Alphaproteobacteria; Hyphomicrobiales; Methylobacteriaceae. RNAcentral also lists the same sequence under 1 other name. The record is from RNAcentral.